CAAGGAAGAAGUUCUGACGGUACUUGAGGAAUAAGCAUCGGCUAACUCUGUGCCAGCAGCCGCGGUAAUACAGAGGAUGCAAGCGUUAUCCGGAAUCACUGGGCAUAAAGCGUCUGUAGGUUGCUUAUCAAGUCUGCUGUUAAAGACCAGGGCCUAACCCUGGGAAAGCAGUGGAAACUAGUAGGCUUGAGUGUGGUAGAGGUAGAGGGAAUUCCUGGUGUAGCGGUGAAAUGCGUAGAUAUUAGGAAGAACACCAAUGGCGAAAGCACUCUACUGGGCCAUAACUGACACUGAGAGACGACAGCUAGGGGAGCAAAUGGGAUUAGAUACCCCAGUAGUCCUAGCCGUAAACGAUGGAUACUAGGUGUUGCACGUAUUAACCCGUGCAGUAUCGUAGCUAAGGCGUUAAGUAUCCCGCCUGGGAAGUACGCUCGCAAGA
Molecule: ribosomal RNA, 439 nt
Filed under: uncultured Cryptophyta
Lineage: Eukaryota; Cryptophyceae
Description: bacterial SSU rRNA
Rfam family: Bacterial small subunit ribosomal RNA
Source: RNAcentral